ACAACUCACAACAAUGGAUCUCUUGGCUCUGGCAUCGAUGAAGAACGCAGCGAAAUGCGAUAAAUAAUAUGAAUUGCAGAAUUCAGCGAAUCAUCGAGUUUUUGAACGCACAUUGCGCCCUCUGGCAUUCCGGAGGGCUUGUCCGACCGAGCGUCGCAUCACCGCCCAAGACUCGUUUUCUUGGUGUUGGGG
RNAcentral lists this ribosomal RNA (192 nucleotides) under Pleurothecium semifecundum. RNAcentral describes it as "5.8S ribosomal RNA". The stretch from base 3 to 156 matches the Rfam family "5.8S ribosomal RNA". Rfam says of the family: 5.8S ribosomal RNA (5.8S rRNA) is a component of the large subunit of the eukaryotic ribosome. It is transcribed by RNA polymerase I as part of the 45S precursor that also contains 18S and 28S rRNA. Functionally, it is thought that 5.8S rRNA may be involved in ribosome translocation. Lineage: Eukaryota; Fungi; Ascomycota; Sordariomycetes; Pleurotheciales; Pleurotheciaceae. The record is from RNAcentral.